CAGGUGGUCAGGUAGAGAAUACCAAGGCGCUUGAGAGAACUCGGGUGAAGGAACUAGGCAAAAUGGUGCCGUAACUUCGGGAGAAGGCACGCUGACACGUAGGUGAAGUGAUUUACUCACGGAGCUGAAGUCAGUCGAAGAUACCAGCUGGCUGCAACUGUUUAUUAAAAACACAGCACUGUGCAAACACGAAAGUGGACGUAUACGGUGUGACGCCUGCCCGGUGCCGGAAGGUUAAUUGAUGGGGUCAGCGCAAGCGAAGCUCCUGAUCGAAGCCCCGGUAAACGGCGGCCGUAACUAUAACGGUCCUAAGGUAGCGAAAUUCCUUGUCGGGUAAGUUCCGACCUGCACGAAUGGCGUAAUGAUGGCCAGGCUGUCUCCACCCGAGACUCAGUGAAAUUGAACUCGCUGUGAAGAUGCAGUGUACCCGCGGCAAGACGGAAAGACCCCGUGAACCUUUACUAUAGCUUGACACUGAACAUUGAGCCUUGAUGUGUAGGAUAGGUGGGAGGCUUUGAAGUGUGGACGCCAGUCUGCAUGGAGCCGACCUUGAAAUACCACCCUUUAAUGUUUGAUGUUCUAACGUGGACCCGUAAUCCGGGUUGCGGACAGUGUCUGGUGGGUAGUUUGACUGGGGCGGUCUCCUCCUAAAGAGUAACGGAGGAGCACGAAGGUUGGCUAAUCCUGGUCGGACAUCAGGAGGUUAGUGCAAUGGCAUAAGCCAGCUUGACUGCGAGCGUGACGGCGCGAGCAGGUGCGAAAGCAGGUCAUAGUGAUCCGGUGGUUCUGAAUGGAAGGGCCAUCGCUCAACGGAUAAAAGGUACUCCGGGGAUAACAGGCUGAUACCGCCCAAGAGUUCAUAUCGACGGCGGUGUUUGGCACCUCGAUGUCGGCUCAUCACAUCCUGGGGCUGAAGUAGGUCCCAAGGGUAUGGCUGUUCGCCAUUUAAAGUGGUACGCGAGCUGGGUUUAGAACGUCGUGAGACAGUUCGGUCCCUAUCUGCCGUGGGCGCUGGAGAACUGAGGGGGGCUGCUCCUAGUACGAGAGGACCGGAGUGGACGCAUCACUGGUGUUCGGGUUGUCAUGCCAAUGGCACUGCCCGGUAGCUAAAUGCGGAAGAGAUAAGUGCUGAAAGCAUCUAAGCACGAAACUUGCCCCGAGAUGAGUUCUCCCUGAGACUUUAGGUCUCCUGAAGGAACGUUGAAGACGACGACGUUGAUAGGCCGGGUGUGUAAGCGCAGCGAUGCGUUGAGCUAACCGGUACUAAUGAACCGUGAGGCUUAACCUUACA
RNAcentral lists this ribosomal RNA (1291 nucleotides) under Salmonella enterica. RNAcentral describes it as "partial 23S ribosomal RNA". It matches the Rfam family "Bacterial large subunit ribosomal RNA", at positions 1660 to 2925 of the family's 2925-position model. Lineage: Bacteria; Pseudomonadati; Pseudomonadota; Gammaproteobacteria; Enterobacterales; Enterobacteriaceae. The record is from RNAcentral.